Molecule: ribosomal RNA, 207 nt
Filed under: uncultured bacterium
Lineage: Bacteria
Description: partial 16S ribosomal RNA
Rfam family: Bacterial small subunit ribosomal RNA
Source: RNAcentral
CGUGCAGCCGGAGAGACAAGUCAGAUGUGAAAUCCGCGGGCUCAACCCGCGAACUGCAUUUGAAACUGUUUCCCUUGAGUAUCGGAGAGGUAAUCGGAAUUCCUAGUGUAGCGGUGAAAUGCGUAGAUAUUAGGAAGAACACCAGUGGCGAAGGCGGAUUACUGGACGACAACUGACGGUGAGGCGCGAAAGCGUGGGGAGCAAACA